Molecule: ribosomal RNA, 297 nt
Filed under: uncultured Spirochaeta sp.
Lineage: Bacteria; Pseudomonadati; Spirochaetota; Spirochaetia; Spirochaetales; Spirochaetaceae
Description: partial 16S ribosomal RNA
Rfam family: Bacterial small subunit ribosomal RNA
Source: RNAcentral
CAACCGAGCGCAACCCCUACUCAUCUGUUGCCAGCGAUUUAAGGUGGGGACGUCAGAUGAGACUGCCGGUGACAAACCGGAGGAAGGUGGGGACGACGGUCAAGUCAUCAUGGCCCUUAUGUCCUGGGCUACACACGUGCUACAAUGGCCGGUACAGAGUGAAGCGAAACCGCGAGGUGAAGCAAAACGCAGAAAGCCGGUCUCAGUACGGAUUGGAGUCUGAAACUCGACUUCAUGAAGUUGGAAUCGCUAGUAAUCGCGCAUCAGCAUGGCGCGGUGAAUACGUUCCCGGGCCUU